Molecule: long non-coding RNA, 428 nt
Organism: Bombyx mori (domestic silkworm)
Lineage: Eukaryota; Metazoa; Arthropoda; Insecta; Lepidoptera; Bombycidae
Exons: 2
Source: RefSeq, a predicted model, not a curated record
CGUGUCCUCGUAGAUAACAACAUAGCAAUCAAUAUUUAACAGUUUUUUUUGCUGUAAUGGGUUGAUGGUUUUUCGUUGCAACUGGUGUUAGACAGUGGAGACCUUAAAUAUCACGUAUAUAUAGCACGUCCUAUCUUGAGACAUGAAGCCAAAAUAUCAACUAUAUUAUAUUAUAAUAUUAACUAUUCUACUCAUCAAAUCGAAAAAUUCCGGUUUCAACGCAAAAGGGCACCACGGAAAUCCUAUUUGCACCGUAAACCACUCAUGCUCUUGACUUUGAAGGAACGUCUACAUAUUAUUACACUAGAAUUGGGAUUUCAAUAUCGUUUCUCAAUGUGUGCGGAACUAUUCACGCUGUGGUUAACGUGGGCCGUGAAUUUCUCUGCAAAACUUACACCAACUAAAAAUAACAACAAAGAAACUUGAAA